This 665-nucleotide unclassified non-coding RNA is filed under the name Athalia rosae (coleseed sawfly). RNAcentral describes it as "misc RNA ENSAEAG00005008091.1". Lineage: Eukaryota; Metazoa; Arthropoda; Insecta; Hymenoptera; Athaliidae. The record is from RNAcentral.
GGGGGUGUUUUAGGGGUGCCUCUGAGGGCGCUGCGAGGGGCUACAGGGUUGUUCCUCCAGUGUGCAGCGGGCGGGCAUCGCGGCGGUCGCGCCGUUCUGCUGCCUCCUGCUAUUUAAACGUAUACAUUAUAACAUAGAGGAAGACGCACACAUGAAACGUUCGGUACCUCCAACGAACCACCGUAAAAAAAGAGAACGUUAAAAAGCAGAUUAUUCAUCGCAGAUAAAUGACCAGCGUAGAACAUCGAAUCGGAUAUUACAUGCGGUAGUUUUCGUCGGUGAUGAUAGAAAGGAGAGAAAAAUAAAACAAAUAAAUAAAUAAACGGAAAAACCGAUCGUCUGAAUAUAGCUACAACGAUUUGUAACGACCAUCGCAUUCGUAAUCAUCGUCAUCUUCGUUGCCGUUGUCACGAAAUAGUUGAUAGAAGAGGAAAUAAAAAGUCAUUCCAUAUAAAAACUAUUAAGCGACUGAGCGAAUGAUAUACGAUCGGCGGAGGCAAAUACUGUCCGCAAAAUCAAUUUCGCAGAAACUUGUUAUAUACUUCUUAAGGGUGGUCGUUUGAAGGAAAAAAAAAAAAUAUUUAGUGCGAGGAGGUAAGGGUGGUAAAAAAAAAAAAACGAAAGAAACCAGUGCGUGAUAAAAGAAUUAUAAAACGAACGAAUCA